This 74-nucleotide ribosomal RNA is filed under the name uncultured bacterium. Its description in RNAcentral is "partial 16S ribosomal RNA". It matches the Rfam family "Bacterial small subunit ribosomal RNA", at positions 281 to 354 of the family's 1533-position model. The record is from RNAcentral.
UAGUAGCCGGCCUGAGAGGGUGAACGGCCACAUUGGGACUGAGACACGGCCCAAACUCCUACGGGAGGCAGCAG